CCUACGGGAGGCAGCAGUGGGGAAUAUUGCACAAUGGGCGAGAGCCUGAUCCAGCCAUGCCGCGUGUGUGAAGAAGGUCUUCGGAUUGUAAAGCACUUUAAGUUGGGAGGAAGGGUAGUAACUUAAUACGUUGCUACUUUGACGUUACCGACAGAAUAAGCACCGGCUAACUUCGUGCCAGCAGCCGCGGUAAU
This 194-nucleotide ribosomal RNA is filed under the name uncultured Pseudomonas sp. RNAcentral describes it as "partial 16S ribosomal RNA". It matches the Rfam family "Bacterial small subunit ribosomal RNA", at positions 338 to 524 of the family's 1533-position model. The record is from RNAcentral. Lineage: Bacteria; Pseudomonadati; Pseudomonadota; Gammaproteobacteria; Pseudomonadales; Pseudomonadaceae.